CCCGCUGAACUUAAGCAUAUCAAUAAGCGGAGGAAAAGAAACCAACAGGGAUUGCCUUAGUAACGGCGAGUGAAGCGGCAACAGCUCAAAUUUGAAAUCUGGCUACCUGUAGCCCGAGUUGUAAUUUGUAGAGGAACGUUCGGCGACGCCUAGGUCUGAUUUUUCUGGAAGGAAAAGCCUUGGAGGGUGAGAGCCCCGCAUGACUGAUGGCUGAACCAUGUGUACGUCCUUCGAAGAGUCGAGUUGUUUGGGAAUGCAGCUCAAAAUGGGUGGUAAAUUCCAUCUAAAGCUAAAUAUUGGCCAGAGACCGAUAGCGCACAAGUAGAGUGAUCGAAAGAUGAAAAGCACUUUGGAAAGAGAGUGAAACAGUACGUGAAAUUGUUGAAAGGGAAGCGCUAGCAACUAGACUUGGGUCAGGCAUUCAGCAGUCCUUUGGGACUGUGUAUUUUGCCUGUUACAAGCCAGCAUCAGUUUCUGCGGCUGGAAAAAAGCAGUCGGAAUGUAGCUCUUUCGAGAGUGUUAUAGCCUUCUGUAGAAUACAGCCAGCGGGGACUGAGGACCGCCUUUGCAGGAUGUUGGCAUAAUGGUUGUUAGCGGCCCGUCUUGAAACACGG
This 614-nucleotide ribosomal RNA is filed under the name uncultured fungus. RNAcentral describes it as "eukaryotic LSU rRNA". It matches the Rfam family "Eukaryotic large subunit ribosomal RNA", at positions 24 to 664 of the family's 3401-position model. Lineage: Eukaryota; Fungi. The record is from RNAcentral.